CUGUCAGAAUAUUUACGUGUAUUUAUCAAUGGCUUUGUCUCAAAUGGAAACUCAAGUGGGCGGUGUUCAAGCGCUCAAGGCGCGCGCCCGGGCACGGAGACCGUAACUCGGUCCGGAAUUCAGCGCAGAGUGAUGACAGUCCCAGCGCAGUCACAUUUAGACAAGGAAUAACUCACUUUCGCCUCUGUCAUUUAAUCAAGCGAUCCAGCUGCAGUUGCAAACACAAACACAGGCGCAACUUCAGACCAUGCGCCCUAUGUGAACAGCUGCGCAAAGACGCACAGGCUGAAAGACAUUUGACAGCUCGCCAACGGGACAUUGGAGUGGACAUGUGAAGAAAUGGAUAUGCAGCCUCUUCACACGAACAAAAUGCGAUCUGACAUCCUCAUCGCCCUCUUCCUCACCGCUGUGAUUGUUCCCCUGUGCACCUCGCAGUCAGGUGAGCGUCCAACUCCCGUGCGUAAAAGUGCUUGUCCAUCCUUCAUAUGUGGCUCGUUGGGUUGCUUUGUGUUCUGGUAUGACGUUUUGUUUAGUAAAUGUGCGCACAUCAGUGGAUUCGACAUUGUUUGUGUUCUAGAUGUGGCGAGCGUUUGUUAUCAAUACUUCUGUGCCAAACUCCAAGUGCCCAAAAUAUUUCCGUGGGCAAUCCACGAUGCUUCAUCCUUUGUGUGUGCGCGCGCUUAAGGGUAUUUUUCAAUCAGAACGUGCCAGUGCAUUCGUUAGAGAUGUCAUUAGGGCUGACUGACAUCAGAAAUCCAUUACUGGGGAUAAAUCACCAUUUGCAUCGCCAUUGCGCGUUUGCUCGCAGCGUUACGUGCCCGAAUACGGGUACGUUUCUGUCCCUCCUUUUUUUAAAAAUGACUUUGUUUCUUGACUGAUUACCAAUUUUUAGUGUAAAUCAGCAGUUUAAGUUGUUUCGU
RNAcentral lists this long non-coding RNA (920 nucleotides) under Danio rerio (zebrafish). RNAcentral's name for it is "lncRNA si:ch211-93g23.3 (ENSDARG00000096530.2)". The record is from RNAcentral. Lineage: Eukaryota; Metazoa; Chordata; Actinopteri; Cypriniformes; Danionidae.